UGCCAGCAGCCGCGGUAAUACGAAGGGUGCUAGCGUUGUUCGGAAUUACUGGGCGUAAAGAGCGCGUAGGCUGAAGUGAAAGUCAGAUGUGAAAGCCCGAAGCUCAACUUCGGAAUUGCAUCCGAAACUUCAUUUCUAGAGGAUAGACGGAGAAGACGGAAUUCCACGAGUAGCGGUGAAAUGCGUAGAUACGUGGAAGAACACCGGUGGCGAAGGCGGUCUUCUAGUUUAUUCCUGACGCUGAGGCGCGAAAGCAAGGGGAGCAAACAGGAUUAGAUA
This 279-nucleotide ribosomal RNA is filed under the name uncultured bacterium. RNAcentral describes it as "partial 16S ribosomal RNA". It matches the Rfam family "Bacterial small subunit ribosomal RNA", at positions 506 to 784 of the family's 1533-position model. The record is from RNAcentral.